CAGUCGCCGCGGUAGGACAGAGGGUGCAAACGUUGUUCGGAAUUACUGGGCGUAAAGCGUGUGUAGGCGGCUUCGCAAGUCGGAUGUGAAAGCCCCGGGCUCAACCCGGGAAGUGCACUCGAUACUGCGGAGCUAGAGUGUCGGAGAGGUUGGUGGAAUUCUCGGUGUAGAGGUGAAAUUCGUAGAUAUCGAGAGGAACACCGGUGGCGAAGGCGGCCAACUGGACGAACACUGACGCUGAGACACGAAAGCGUGGGGAGCAAACAGGAUUAGAUACCCCUGUAGUCCCUGUCUCUUAUAC
Molecule: ribosomal RNA, 301 nt
Filed under: uncultured bacterium
Lineage: Bacteria
Description: partial 16S ribosomal RNA
Rfam family: Bacterial small subunit ribosomal RNA
Source: RNAcentral